GCCUUUGUGGCCCAACGGUUAGCGCACUCGACGCGUAUUCCAGAGGUCCAGGUUCGAGUCCCGGCGAAGGCA
Molecule: transfer RNA, 72 nt
Filed under: Stegodyphus mimosarum
Lineage: Eukaryota; Metazoa; Arthropoda; Arachnida; Araneae; Eresidae
Rfam family: tRNA
About the family: Transfer RNA (tRNA) molecules are approximately 80 nucleotides in length. Their secondary structure includes four short double-helical elements and three loops (D, anti-codon, and T loops).
Source: Rfam by way of RNAcentral